RNAcentral lists this unclassified non-coding RNA (359 nucleotides) under soil metagenome. RNAcentral describes it as "partial contains 5.8S ribosomal RNA, internal transcribed spacer 2, and large subunit ribosomal RNA". The stretch from base 1 to 120 matches the Rfam family "5.8S ribosomal RNA", at positions 35 to 154 of the family's 154-position model. The record is from RNAcentral.
GAUGAAGAACGCAGCGAAAUGCGAUAAGUAAUGUGAAUUGCAGAAUUCAGUGAAUCAUCGAAUCUUUGAACGCACAUUGCGCCCGCCAGCAUUCUGGCGGGCAUGCCUGUUCGAGCGUCAUUUCAACCCCUCGGGCCCUGGUGCCCGGCGUCGGGGCGCUUCCCACCCCCGGGAACCCCCCAGAAGCAGUGGCGGACCCGCCGCGGCUCCGAGCGCAGUAGUUAAUAUUUCUCGCUCAGGAGGCCCGUGGGGGGGACUUCGGCCGUUAAACCGGACCCUCGCGUCCACGUACACACAAAGGUUGACCUCGGAUCAGGUAGGAAUACCCGCUGAACUUAAGCAUAUCAAUAAGCGGAGGA